AUCCAGCUGACGAGUCCUAAAUAGAGCGAAACGCGCGUCCUGGAU
This is a non-coding RNA of Schistosoma haematobium, 45 nucleotides long. The record is from Rfam. Lineage: Eukaryota; Metazoa; Platyhelminthes; Trematoda; Strigeidida; Schistosomatidae.